UACGUAGGCGGAAAAUUAAGUCAGUGGUGAAAUCCUGCAGCUUAACUGUAGAACUGUCAUUGAUACUGGUUUUCUUGAAUACAGUUGAGGUAGGCGGAAUGUGUAAUGUAGCGGUGAAAUGCUUAGAUAUUACACAGAACACCGAUUGCGAAGGCAGUUUACUAAACUGUUAUUGACGCUGAGGUACGAAAGCGUGGGGAGCGAACAGGAUUAGAUACCCUGGUAGUCC
This 229-nucleotide ribosomal RNA is filed under the name uncultured bacterium. RNAcentral describes it as "partial 16S ribosomal RNA". It matches the Rfam family "Bacterial small subunit ribosomal RNA", at positions 568 to 796 of the family's 1533-position model. The record is from RNAcentral.